This 193-nucleotide non-coding RNA is filed under the name Antarctobacter heliothermus. Lineage: Bacteria; Pseudomonadati; Pseudomonadota; Alphaproteobacteria; Rhodobacterales; Roseobacteraceae. The record is from RNAcentral.
CACCACGCCUGCCACGAUGGUUCCCCGGGCCCGCCCGGGGAGGAAAACAGGGAACGCGGUUCAAACCCGUGGCUGCCCCCGCAACUGUAAGCGGUGAGCGUUCUUGCAAUGUGCCACUGGCCGGAUCGGCCGGGAAGGCGCGAGAGCGCAUCGACCCGCGAGCCAGGAGACCUGCCAUCGGAGAGGUGAAACU